UGAACUUGCGGAAGGAUCAUUA
This 22-nucleotide ribosomal RNA is filed under the name Zamia angustifolia. RNAcentral describes it as "partial 18S rRNA". Lineage: Eukaryota; Viridiplantae; Streptophyta; Cycadopsida; Cycadales; Zamiaceae. The record is from RNAcentral.